AGCUUUGCGCAGUGGCAGUAUUGUAGCCAAUGAGGUUUAUCUGAGGCGCAAUUAUUGCUAAUUGAAAAUGUUCUGUAUUGCCCUCAGAUUAUGUGUAGAGUUAUAUUACUAAGCGGUACCAGCAAAAGUUCGAUAAACCUUUGUAGGGAUUUUGUGGGGCAUUGAAGAAUG
Molecule: small nuclear RNA, 171 nt
Filed under: Zalophus californianus (California sea lion)
Lineage: Eukaryota; Metazoa; Chordata; Mammalia; Carnivora; Otariidae
Description: U4 spliceosomal RNA (ENSZCAG00015021989.1)
Rfam family: U4 spliceosomal RNA (bases 1-148)
About the family: U4 small nuclear RNA (U4 snRNA) is a component of the major U2-dependent spliceosome. The structure of U4 snRNA from yeast and human has been reported.
Source: RNAcentral